Molecule: long non-coding RNA, 1137 nt
Organism: Brassica napus (rape)
Lineage: Eukaryota; Viridiplantae; Streptophyta; Magnoliopsida; Brassicales; Brassicaceae
Exons: 2
Source: RefSeq, a predicted model, not a curated record
CACAACAUACAUUCAUCUGUCCACCACCAUUACUUUUCAUCACCAGAUUUACAUAAUAUCCCAGGUCCAUUUUAGAUUGUGGAUGUUCCAGUUAUGUUUGAGAUAUUAAUGAGCAAAACAGAGUGCGAAGACAGAAGGUGGAAGGAAUUGAUCUUUUGAUUUCAUAGAGUAAUCGCUGAUCGGAAAAAAAAAUUAACAGAAAUAAAUUGAUGAUGAAAACAUAAAAAAAAAUAAUAAACAGAUGUAGAUGUUAGUUGCAGAUAUCUGGGAAAAUAAUGAAGAAGACAGGAGAAAAGGGUUAACCGGUUGUCUUCAAGGGUAGUUUGGUAUAUAUUUUAGAAAAUACGUUGAAUAUCUUGGUCAAAUUUUUUUUUAGUUAGUUACCUAAUUAUAAAAUUUUUGUUGGUCAUACAGUCCAAUUUCCCUAAUAAUAUUAUGCUUUUGUCAUAGAAAAAUAAAAAAGAUUUAAUAAAUUGUUGCUGGUGUUUUGGCAUAAUAAGGUGUACAAUACUAUGAAAUAAUAAAUAUUGAUAUUGUGUCUUCCCUUUUCUUUUUUUUGUACAAUUGCAUAAAUUAACAAAAAGAAAAGAUAUUGGAAUUUGUUAUUACUUUCAUAUUAAAAAUUGAAAUAAAAAUGGUAACAGCUUCACAUACGUCUUCCUUCGAUGUCGUUCGAGGAAGAAGAAAAGGAGGAGGAGACAUUCAAGCAUACACUUCUCGUGUUACGUGAGGUCUCCAGGAUCGAACCACAUCUGUGGGAUACAAGUGUGGCGAAUGGCUUCAGUCCGAUAAGAUAUGGUUCGGCAGACUCCACGUCGUAUCGUGGAAGGAUCGAUGCGAGAUCCGGCGCGAGGAUUCGAACUCUGGCGAUCUAUUCACGGCUUGUAUUGAAAUAUCCAGGGACAGGGGAAUGAAUACAACAAACUGUUCGCAGACAACGGCAUCUAUAGCUGUGCAGGAUGGGAACUCCUCUAUACAAAAAUCCGCCACCAAGUUAGACUCUGGCCUGCUUUCUUUGACGGCGCCAUAUUUUGUUAGUUUUAUGUCUGACCUUCUUAUGUCUCUGCCUUUGUGCAUAUAUGAACGCAAGUUGUAGUACAAAAUCUUCGAAAAUUCUUGUUUAGAAGAUUAGAAUAA